This 1653-nucleotide long non-coding RNA is filed under the name Struthio camelus australis. RNAcentral describes it as "lncRNA (ENSSCUG00000008844.1)". The record is from RNAcentral. Lineage: Eukaryota; Metazoa; Chordata; Aves; Struthioniformes; Struthionidae.
CAUUUUUUAGUAAUAGGUUAUUUUAAAGAAUAUUUUCAUACAUGUUUUAUACUAUCCAUAUACCAGGAAUUCAGGAUUUUGGUAGUAACUAAUUCUGCUUGAUGAUAUCAAUGGGAAAUUGUUCCCAGUCCUGAUAUCUUCAGAAACAAAAUUUCAGGUGUUUGGAUUCUGACAGAUCCUGUUUUACCUGCUGCUGCAGCGGCAGCGUAGUGAUACAUGUGCAGGAAUCUAUUGAUAAUGAGAGCUACAACAGGGGAAUGCUAUGGAAACCAGUGCUCUUUGCAGUCGCUGCUAUAGUCUCAGAUUAGCCUUAGCUCCUGCAUGUUAGCAUGUGCUAUACAUUAACAGGACUGUUCCUAAAUAGUAGAUGAUCUGAAUUCUUUUUGAAAUUGUAGCAUACUGUUUUGGAUGACUAUUUACACAAUUUCCCGGUAAGAAAUCUGCAUGAAGGUACACAUAUCGACCUAUUGCAACAUACUGAUAUUGCCCAAAAGACUGAAUAAGUGAGCAGAGCUACUAGGAGCUUUUCUAGCAGUUUGGAAGCAGGAGAAGAGAGGGAUGGAAGGAGGUCAGGCUUGGGAGUAAAAUACCUCUGAGUCACCUAGCAUUUCUGUAUUGUGUCCCAGCUGUGAUGGUGGCCACGUUAUGAUGCAAUGUCCCAAGUAUGAUGUCAAGAUAAACUCUGGAGCUCUCUCAAAGAGAAAUGAUGCUUCUAUUCAGCACUAACAGUUUAACAAAGCCACCUCACAGUUCAGUUAUUUUGAUGUUCUUUUGCUGGUUUUGCUGAGCUUUGUUUUUUUUUUUCCUCUUCCUUGUGAGAUGCAGGCAAUUUUAUGAGUCUAGUCCUCUUCCCAGGCACCUGCUCUGCAUGAACCCAGUGAAGCUACCUCUGUGGAAAUGAUGCCGAGGCAAAAGAUGUGUAGAGAGGGAUGAAGAAAAAUGCUCAGCAGUGACCUACAGAAGAGUGUGAUAGUCAUGUCGAAACCCCCUCGGCCCUGCAAAAUGCCGAGCGCGGGCCCUGAGCCAGCUGACCAGAGGACGGCGGGUGAGGGCAGACUUGCUGUCCGCCAGGAGGCUGAGCAGGACCCAGCGCGGGGGAAGCACUCCUGGAGCCACGUUAUUCAGGACUUUUGGUGCCGAUGCUUUAAAGAGUGCAGUCCCUUCUGAGGCAGAUGCUCUGCCUUCAUAUUCUGUUUGUACCUCUGUCAGCACAUUUUCGGCUCUGCUAUAUUAUGCAUAGGGCUAUGUCUAAACUGCUUGCCGAUGAAAGACCGUGCAUUUAAUAUUCAUAAUAAGAUCACCUUUAUAAUUGCUGUAUAAGUAGUGCCAGUUGAAUUAGCACUGUGUUUGGAGUCUAUACAUUGGCAUUGUCACUAUGACAGGGGUUUCACGUCAAUACACAGUAGCAAUUAGCAGCGAUUGCCACUUGAUGUCACUGUUGUCGUUCAAACCCAUAGCUGAAAAAGGCCUGCUAGCUGCUUUUCAAUACUGGAACAUGAAUGUGACGUUUCAGGUAAGCGGUAUUACACACCUUUUCAAACAGCUGUAUAAAUCGUCAGCUUUGUUUGAAACAAUCUUGGGAUAGAUUUUCUUCUGCAUUCUUCCACUUUCUUCAAGUACGUGUGGAACAUGAAUGUAAUCAAAGCUUUUGCC